AGUUCCUGGACCAGAUAAAGGGCAUCUUUGAAAAACCUACGGCUCCCAUCUCAUAUCAGCCAGGGACAAAGAAACCCCUUGUUUAUCCCAGCUUGGCUUUUGAUCUGUGCUUAUACCUGGUUCAUGCCUAGGGCACAUGG
Molecule: small nucleolar RNA, 140 nt
Organism: Nycticebus coucang (slow loris)
Lineage: Eukaryota; Metazoa; Chordata; Mammalia; Primates; Lorisidae
Product: small nucleolar RNA SNORA48
Exons: 1
Source: RefSeq, a predicted model, not a curated record